RNAcentral lists this ribosomal RNA (486 nucleotides) under uncultured bacterium. RNAcentral's name for it is "partial 16S ribosomal RNA". It matches the Rfam family "Bacterial small subunit ribosomal RNA", at positions 30 to 507 of the family's 1533-position model. The record is from RNAcentral.
AUUGAACGCUGGCGGCAUGCCUUACACAUGCAAGUCGAACGGCAGCACGGGGGGUAACCCCUGGUGGCGAGUGGCGAACGGGUGAGUAAUAUAUCGGAACGUGUCCUGUAGCGGGGGAUAACCUAUCGAAAGAUGGACUAAUACCGCAUACGCCCUACGGGUGAAAGCGGAGGACCGCAAGGUUUCGCACUCUAGGAACGGCCGAUAUCGGAUUAGCUAGUUGGCGGGGUAACGGCCCACCAAGGCGACGAUCCGUAGCUGGUCUGAGAGGACGAUCAGCCACACUGGAACUGAGACACGGUCCAGACUCCUACGGGAGGCAGCAGUGGGGAAUUUUGGACAAUGGGCGCAAGCCUGAUCCAGCCAUGCCGCGUGAGUGAAUAAGGCCUUCGGGUUGUAAAGCUCUUUCGGCGGGGACGAAACGGAUCAUGCUAAUACCACGCACUACUGACGGUACCCGCAGAAGAAGCACCGGCUAACUACGUG